Salmo salar (Atlantic salmon) is the source of this 6043-nucleotide non-coding RNA. The record is from RefSeq and is a predicted model, not a curated record. Lineage: Eukaryota; Metazoa; Chordata; Actinopteri; Salmoniformes; Salmonidae.
GGCAUUUUGAGUGGGACUAGGGGCUCCGCAGUAAACUAAAACAAUGAUAACUAUCCUAAACAACAGUAUACAAGGCACAUUGACAUUUGAGAGAGACAUAAAACGAGGCAUAAAGCAAUCACAGGUGUUGAUUGGGAGAGCUAGCUAAGACAACGACGGGUAAGACAACAACAGCUAAUCAGCUAAGACAACAACGACAGGUAAAAUGGCCAUGAAUGGGCAGAGAGGGUCAGUUAACCUCACACACGGCCUGAGUUUGAGGCUGGGGCUGACAGAUAAACAAAAAAAUAAACAAAAUGGAGUACCGUGAUUAAUGAACAGUCCAGUAGGCAUCAGCUAUGUAGCCAAGUAAUCAUAGGGUCCAGUGAACAGCAAUAGAUGGAACAGAGAAGCCGCAGGGUAGUCGUUACUAUGCUAGCAAGCGGGAGACACAGCGUUUAAAGUUAGCAGGCCGGGGUUAGUAGAAGCGUCUGCUCCGACGUCCGGCAAAGGCCGGUUGAGGGACCAGCGGAUGGAGUUCCGUCGGCAGACCAGUCGUGGUGGUACGGCGGGGCACCGUGUCGACAAAGGAUCCAGGCCAGAUGGCGAAAGGGGUAUUGUAGUUGUAGUAAUUUAGUUUGCUAGCCGGGAGAUGCGCCUGGCUCGCGGCUAACUGGUGCUAGCUUCGGGGAAGGGGCGUUAGCCACUAUAGCCACUCGGUAGCAGCUAACUAGCAGCGAUGAUCCGAUGCAAAGGUCCAGAGCUUAUGGCAAGGAUCCGGUGGAGUAGUGGAUUCUAGCCGUGUUGGGGUAGAGUCCGGGAGGCAUCAGCUGUGUAGCCGAGUGAUCACUGAGUAGGCCGGGAGGUGGGCCUGGCUCAGAGCUAGCUUCGGGGCUGGGUCACUUGGUGGCAGCUAGCUAGCUAGCUGUGAUGAUCAGGAAUAAUGGUCCAGGGCUUACGGCAGGAAUCCGGCGUUGUAGUGGAGAAAACAGUCCGAUACUGGCAGGCUGGCAAGUAUUAUCCAGGCUUAAAAAAACGGCUGAUGUCUGUGCAGAAGGUUUCUUACGUGCUGUUCCUGAUUUUUCCGUAGUGUAUUUUUGUGUUGUUUUAGUGAUUCACCGUAGCGAAGGCGUAGACUCAGGUUUUCUGGGUCUCUAUGUUUUUGUUAAUUUCUUUCUUAGGUUUUUGCAUUCUUCAUCAAACCAUUUGUCAUUGUUUUUAAUUUUCUUAGGUUGUCUCCUUGACAUUUUUUGAUGUGAUAGGAAAGCUAAAAUGUUAAAUAUACUGUUUAGACGUUCUACAGCCAGGUUUACACCUUUACUAUUACAGUGACAUGUUUUGUCCAGGAAGUUUUCUAAAAGGGAUUGAUUUUGUUCUUGCCUAAUAGUUGUUUGGUAGAUUUCUACACUACCUUCCUUCCAUCUAUAGCAUUAAUAUUGUGCAGUUCCUUUUGGUUUGAUGCCUCAUGAUAGAGUAUUGCUCUGUUCAAAUAGACUGUGAUUUUGCUGCGAUGGGGGUUUCAGUGGGCUGACUGUGAAUGCUCUGAGAGACUCUGGGUUGAGGUCAGUGAUUAAGUAAUCUACAGUACUACUGCCAAGGAAUGAGCUGUAGAUGCACCUAGCAUAGGAGACUCCUUGAAGCCUACUAUUGACUAUGUACAGACCCAGCAUGCGACAGAGCUGCAGGAGUUGUGACCCGUUUUUGUUGGUUGUUUUGUCAUAGUUGUGUCUAUAUGGGGCAUAUUUGGGAGGGAAUGCUGUCACCUCCAGGUAGGUAUUUGUCCCCGUGUGCUGAGAGUGUCAGGUUCUUGUCCAGUUCUGGCAUUUAGGUCACCACAGACUAGUACAUCUCCCUGGGCCUGGAAAUGGUUGAUUUCCCCGUCUAGGAUGUUGUCAUUGUUAAAGUAUGGGGAUUCUAUUGGGGGGAUAUAGGUAGCACACAUGAGGACAUUUUUCUCUGUUCCUUAUUAAUUUCGAGACGGAAGUAAAAUGUUCCUGUUUGGACUAAUUUAAUAGUGGGUUAGGUUUGCUCUAUACCACAUUAGCAUACCCCCUGAGUCUCUUCCCUGUUUCACACCUGGUAGUUUGGUGGAUGGGACUGCCAGCUCUUUGUAACCUAGAGGGCAACCAGUGGGUCCGUCUCCUCUAUACCAUGUUUCUUGUAGAGUGAGAAUGUCUGUAUUGUCCUAAUGUGUCCUCCUUGUCCUGAUUGCAGGUUUAUGGGACAUAAUCACAGUGCACCAGUCCCCUCCAGUCCUCUCUGUCCAGCCUGGAGACACUGUGCGAAUUCUCUGUAGAGCCUCACAAGACAUUGAUAACGAUAUGACACUUUACCAGUUCAAACCUGUGCAGGCACCCAGAGGCCUCAUUCAUGAUAGUAACCAGAAGUAUCCUUACACAUCUAGUCGGUUCAGUGGCUUAUUGAAUGGAGCUCUCACCACCUUCACUAUCACAGAGGUCCAGGUUAAGGAUGAAGCUGAGUAAUACUGCCAACAAAGUGAACAGCUUCCAUUCACACAGUGAAAUAUGGCUGUACAAAAACCUCUGUUAGCUUCUCUCACUUCAGUCCGUUUGUGCGAGUGCCCGGCCAAGCAUCCGAGAACUGUCAGGGUUCAAUGACCUCUUUCCAUCAUAGCUGUAGCUGUACUGUAAGCAUAUCACAAUCAUAAAUAACUGGCAAUAGGGUGGCAUUAGCCAGUCAAGGCAACACAAACAUGGGAAUGGAACUGAACUGGCAGCUGGAACGCUGCUGGCCUCUGAUCCCAUGUACCAUCUCCUGCCCUUGUGCACUUGGACAAGGCACUCAACCCCCCACAAUUGCUCUUCGUCAAGGGCACUGCACUACAGCUCAUCCUGUGCCUCUCAAUGUGUGUGUGUGUGUGUGUGUGUGUGUGUGUGUGUGUGUGUGUGUGUGUGUGUGUGUGUGUGUGUGUGUGUGUGUGUGUGUGUGUGUACACUCUUAGAAAAAAAGGUGCUAUCUAGAACCUAAAAGGGUUCUUUGGCUGUCCCCAUAGGAGAAUCCUUUAAAGAACACGUUUUAUUUCCUGGUAGAACCUAACAGAGGUUUUUUACAUGGAACCCAAAAGGGUUCUACCUAGAACCAAAAAGUGUUCUCCUAUGGGAACAGCUGAAGAACCCUUUUGGAACCCUUUUUCUACGAGUGCAUAUCUGGGGUGUUGGGAAAGGCAGGAGACAAAUUUCCACUCUAACCAAUGGACAAUAAAGUAUCUAUUCUAUAGGUCUACAAUAACAGAAUAAACUACUUCAGACUCGGCCAACAGUGUUAUUUGAGCAGUGAUCACCAUGAUGUCAACAUUUCAGCUCCUCUUUCUUUGCCCUAUGGACAAAAAGUACAUAUACAAGUUACAAAACUUAAAGCGGCAAUCAGAAGUAGAAACAAUAGUAAAGUGGUUGCCCCACCCCUGGUUCUGUAAUAAGCUGAGGGAUGGGUCUGGAAAAAUAUAACCACUGAAAUUCAUAGACAGCAUUAUUUUUAACCAUGUUCUGAGGCUAUAUAGUGUUUGUUUCCAUUUUCUUUGUUUACAAACAUUGGAGUAAAACAAGCUUAUAUAUUUUUAUUUAUUUUUUAUUUAUUUAUUAUUAUAUAUAUAUAUAUAUAUAUAUAUAUAUUUCUUACCCUUUUUUCGCCCCAAUUUCAUGGUAGUUACAGUCUUGUCCCAUCGCUGCAACUCCCGUACGGACUCGGGAGAGGUGAAGGGACAGAGCCGUGCGUCCUCCGAAACACAACCCAGCCAAGCCGCAAUGCUUCUUGACACAAUGCCCGCUUAACCCGGAAGCCAGUUGCACCAUGAUGUGUUGCAGGAAACACCGUACACCUGGGGACCUUGUCAGCGUGGAUUGCGCCCGGCCCGCCACAGGAGUCGCUAGUGCUCGAUGGGACAAGAACUUCCCUGUCGGCCAAACCCUCCCCUAACCCGGACGACGCUGGGCCAAUUGUGCGCCGCCCCAUGGGUCUCCCGGUCGCGGCCGUCUGCGACAGAGCCUGGAUCUCUAGUGGCACAGCUAGCACUGCGAUGCAGUGCCUUAGACUACUGCACCACUCGGGAGGCCUUAUAUUUUGGUGGGGAACGACAGUUGAACUAAGUGCAUGAGGUUCAUGGGGCAUCAUCACAGUGGACCAGUCCCCUCCGGUCCUCUCUGUCCAGCCUGGAGACACAAGACAUUGGCAAUGAUAUGGAGGUGCACCAGUUUAAACCUGGACAGGCACCCAAAACUCUUUUUAUGAUGGUAACCAGAGGUAUUUGUGCACACCCGGUCGGUUCAGUGGCCUCUAUACUGGAGCUCUCACCACCUUCACUAUCAGUUGAGUACAAGCAGAGGACGAAGCUUAGUAUUACUGACCAACACAGUGAAACAUUUCCAUCCACACAGUGAAAUACGGCUGUGCAUAAACCUCAGAUCACUGUUCUCAUAUGAGAAUGUUGCCAAGCUCCAGUGCACAGUUUAGCUUCAUUGAAAAACUGUUCCAUGCUUGUAACCUCGGUCUACACUAGACUCUACAUUCGGUCAAAACAGCCUCUCUCGUAUGUGCUAGAGCUCAUAUGGACAUUUGGGAUCUACAUUUUCUUAUUGAAAACAUGUUGUUUCUGGAUAUUUUGCUUCCAUCAAUAAUGACAUAUCUACUGUACAUGGACAACCUCUCAGACUCUUUAUGCAGGAGCUAUAAAGUCCCAAGUUACCUGGGACAUGAUACAGCUGAUCCUGGAAUAAAGGCUGUUAUGAUUUUUUAUUUAUUUACAUUGAUGGAUAUUGAAUUGAGAAAUGGGACCAGGCUAGGAAUCACUGUGAUGACAUGAUCAGUAUGGGAUGAUUCCUGGUGCUAAAUCUUUCAUCUGUAUUGAGCUAUUUGUGUACACAAAGAUACAUCCACUGGAUUGAUCAGUAAGGUAAGGAGUCAUGUUUGAAAUUGUAAUGUUAUUGAGUUGGUAAAACAAUUUGAAAACAAAUCUUUAACUCCCACUGUAAGAUUGUUCAUAGUUUAUAACAAAUCAAUAGAAAUAUAAUCUCUCUCACUGAAAAGAGUUGUACAAAAUUAUGAUAAACAAUUGAAUAGUUACAUUAAAUGAUGGAUAAUUUGUAUCAUACUGUAGUGGUUGAUAUUUGUUUAGAAAUUCUGUUAACUAGUUCCGUUCAUGGACCAGUGAGUUUAGUGGAGGAGAGGUUUUUGAACAACCUCCUCAUCUGUUUAAAUCAUUGUGGUACAAGUUUGGGCAAACGACCAAACUGAUCGUUAAGAGUAAGUUGCAAAUAUUUCUAGAAUGUAUCUAAUCAAUAGACUAUAUUGUUUAUAGACAUUUCUGUUAUUAUUGUAAGUGGAACCAUCAUGGUGUAAUUGUGAACAGAUAUUUUACUGUAACAAACAACUAAUUUAAUUAUAAACAAGAGUGUAUUAUUCUUUCAGAGACAUUUUGAUAUUGGCCUCUCUAUGCUGCUGAAUUGGAAUGGAUCCAUCAAAACACUGCAGCUGUGUACGCUGUUUAAUGAUUUUCUUUAUUUAAUCAAUUUCAUAAAUCUAAUGUUUUGGUAACACUUUAUUUCAUCCUAUCAUAUUAUACAUUUCAUGAAGCCUUCAUAAAUGCUUAUAAAUGCUUUAAAAAUGAUAAAUGUUCUACAUUUUCAUGGAAUGGAAGGCUUAGAAUGCUUAUAAAUGUUUACACAUUUAUUCAUGAUAGUUAUUAUAAUAAAGUGUUACCAAUAUUUUUCUUAAUUAUAUUGUAUUUUACAAAUGUACAAAAUAUAUUAUUUACAUAUAUUAUUAUGUAAAUCAAUAAUAGAUGUAUUGUCUAUCUGCAUUUAUACAUAUUUCAAUCUGUUUAUGCUGGAGGCAAUGGAAAUACUAAGGGGGGGGGUUCUACUAAGGUGACAUAUGAAAUUGUUUUUAGAUGGUCAUACCAUGGAUCAUUUAGCUAUAUGAUAUUGAAUUUUAGGACCCCUGUAGGUAUCAACAUUUUAAAUGUUUGAUCAAAUGUAGAAUUUGGCCUUUACUACUAUAGCCCAUAGAAAUGCAUAGAAUAAUGGCAAAAUAAAUAAUAAGGAAUAAGGUA